UACGUAGGGUGCAAGCGUUGUCCGGAAUUAUUGGGCGUAAAGAGCUUGUAGGCGGUUUGUCGCGUCUGCUGUGAAAUUUCGGGGCUCAACCCCGAACUUGCAGUGGGUACGGGCAGACUAGAGUGUGGUAGGGGAGACUGGAAUUCCUGGUGUAGCGGUGAAAUGCGCAGAUAUCAGGAGGAACACGGAUGGCGAAGGCAGGUCUCUGGGCCAUAACUGACGCUGAGAAGCGAAAGCAUGGGGAGCGAACAGG
Molecule: ribosomal RNA, 253 nt
Filed under: uncultured bacterium
Lineage: Bacteria
Description: partial 16S ribosomal RNA
Rfam family: Bacterial small subunit ribosomal RNA
Source: RNAcentral